UUCUUCUAAAAGACAAACGGUAAUUAAAAAGAAAACAAAUAAAUAAACAUCCUAGGAUAACCUUCACUAGCAUUUAAAGGGAGUUCGGGUGGUGAACUACUCACAACUCUCUUACUGAUCGGGAUUUGGAUCUUGAUUUUCUUGAUCUGAAAUAAUUAAUAAAAGGAUGAGCUACACUAAUCUAGUAAAAAUAUCACACUAAUCACAAAUACGGAAAACUAAAGAUUGGU
This 230-nucleotide long non-coding RNA is filed under the name Carica papaya (papaya). RNAcentral's name for it is "long non-coding RNA (CPAP_LNC013459)". Lineage: Eukaryota; Viridiplantae; Streptophyta; Magnoliopsida; Brassicales; Caricaceae. The record is from RNAcentral.